RNAcentral lists this ribosomal RNA (587 nucleotides) under Cronobacter sakazakii. RNAcentral describes it as "partial 23S ribosomal RNA". It matches the Rfam family "Bacterial large subunit ribosomal RNA", at positions 1085 to 1674 of the family's 2925-position model. Lineage: Bacteria; Pseudomonadati; Pseudomonadota; Gammaproteobacteria; Enterobacterales; Enterobacteriaceae. The record is from RNAcentral.
CCAGACAGCCAGGAUGUUGGCUUAGAAGCAGCCAUCAUUUAAAGAAAGCGUAAUAGCUCACUGGUCGAGUCGGCCUGCGCGGAAGAUGUAACGGGGCUAAACCAUGCACCGAAGCUGCGGCAGCGACACUGUGUGUUGUUGGGUAGGGGAGCGUUCUGUAAGCCUGCGAAGGUGUGCUGUGAGGCAUGCUGGAGGUAUCAGAAGUGCGAAUGCUGACAUAAGUAACGAUAAAGCGGGUGAAAAGCCCGCUCGCCGGAAGACCAAGGGUUCCUGUCCAACGUUAAUCGGGGCAGGGUGAGUCGACCCCUAAGGCGAGGCCGAAAGGCGUAGUCGAUGGGAAACAGGUUAAUAUUCCUGUACUUGGUGUUACUGCGAAGGGGGGACGGAGAAGGCUAUGUCGGCCGGGCGACGGUUGUCCCGGUUUAAGCGUGUAGGCUGACUUUCCAGGCAAAUCCGGAAGGUUAAGGCUGAGGCGUGAUGACGAGGCACCACGGUGCUGAAGUGACAAAUGCCCUGCUUCCAGGAAAAGCCUCUAAGCAUCAGGUAACAUCAAAUCGUACCCCAAACCGACACAGGUGGUCAGGUAG